Molecule: long non-coding RNA, 243 nt
Organism: Centropristis striata (black sea bass)
Lineage: Eukaryota; Metazoa; Chordata; Actinopteri; Perciformes; Serranidae
Exons: 3
Source: RefSeq, a predicted model, not a curated record
UUUGCUGACCACCCAGGACAGAUUAUAUUCUGAAGAGAAUAUAUUCCUUCUUGUGAUAUACUUUGAAAGCUCCAUGAUGGGAGAUCUACUGUACGAUCCACAAUAACAGCUACAGCUGCCUCAGGUUUUCAAACUCAGUCGUCAGUUUCCAGCAGAGUGACAUCAUGGCGGCUGCAGCACCAGUGUCCAAUGAUUCACAACCUGUGAAGAAGAGAAGAAGCUUGGAAUGGCUACCACCUUACA